Non-coding RNA from Schistosoma haematobium, 46 nucleotides. The record is from Rfam. Lineage: Eukaryota; Metazoa; Platyhelminthes; Trematoda; Strigeidida; Schistosomatidae.
GCACUGCUGAGGAGUCCCAUAUUGGGACGAAACAGCCGUCUAGUAC